CUGGAGAGGGACCGGAGACAGAGGAGCUGGCAGGGCUUGGGGGGCAUGGGGCAGGAAAGGGUUCAGCGGACCUGGCCUUUACUCUGUGAGAGUUCCAAGCUCGAGGGUCCAGGGUGGCUGUGAGGUUGGGGAGCGGCGGUGCUGCCCAAGCGAGGGCAGCUGUAGAGUAGAGUGUAAGAGGACCAGAGCCUUGAGUCCGCUUGGUCCCCCAGGCAAAGGGCUCUGACUUCAGCUGACUCUGAUGGCCUUGCAUGGGCACAGAGUUUAAUUUUAGCUCCAGCCACAGGAGUGCCUGGCAGUGGGUGCAGGGGUAGCCUGAGCCGCUCAGGGACUACUCGGGCUGUGGGGGAGUGGAGGAGACCAGCCCUACUUCCUUCCAACCUUGAGCCUGGCAAGCGUGUUUCUUGUGGGAGCCCUGACCGAUCCUCCAUGGCCUGGCAGACAGCCCUCCUCUCAGUCAAGGGCAGGGGCAGAGGGUGCAGCCACGAGGGCAGAGGGACAUUGCUUUGCAGUCUGGACAAGGAUUGCAUCAGUCUGAGUAGUACCCAGGGGCAGGUGGCCCUGCUGGUGGGGCAAAGGCUGGCUGGGUUGUGCAGAUGCCAAGGAAACGGAGCUCUGGGCACAGGAAAGCAAGACCAGAAAGCUGGCUCGCCUUGACCCCUCUUGGGUGGCCAGUGACUUGCUUUUUGACUUCUACAGGAAGCUUGCCCUCAUGAGUCUCAGUCUUCCCGUCUGUGCAAUGACAAUGCUGGACUAGAGGACUGAUCAUAGCCCUGGUCACCCUCAGAUCCUGCUCGCCGGCAGAGGCACCUGGCUUCCCCCAGCCUUGGUUGUGGGUGGCCAAUGCAGUUCUGGAGAAGAAGGUCUCUCUGGCUGGCACUGUCAGCUUCCAGUCUCCUCCUUACCCUCCUGGGGUUUUUCCCCUUUCUCCGCCUAGCAGUGUCCCCCAGACCUCAGCCUGCCGCUCCCCAGGGCUGGCCCCGCUGGUUGGAUACAGCGUCCCUGCGGAGUUUCUCCCAGCCUGAAGAGCCCCCAGAAGAUGUCCCUCAACCUCCUCAAGCCCCCCAUGGUACCAGCUGCAGCUGGGGAAUCUGCUUUGACACCUCCAGAUGCAGGGGUGAUGGCCUCAAGGUAUUUGCACAUGCAGCUGCUCAACCAACCUCUGAGAUGCAUCGCAGGAUCCUGGCUUCCCUGGAAGGCUCCCGCUACCACACACGCAAUCUCACAGAGGCCUGCCUCCUCUUCGUCCUCAGCCCAGAAGACCCAGAUGGACAGUGUGGCCCUGCUCCUCAACACUGGAACGGAGGCAGGAACCACCUGGUCAUCCGUCUCCACCCGGACCCCUGCCCCCAGGCCUCCCAGCUGGGACAGGCAAUGGUGGCACAGGCCAGCCCCAGAGUGGACACCUUCCGGCCUGGCUUCGAUGUGGCACUCCCGCUUCUCCCUGAAGCCCACCCAUUUCGAGGUGGGGCUCCUGGCCAGCUGCAACAGCACAGCCCCCACCCUAGGGCAGCCCUGCUAGCCCUGGCAGAAGAGGGGGGCAGGUGGCGUACAGCAGGCACCUACUCCUCCACCUGCCCCUGGGAUGGGCACUGUGAGCAAGACCUUGGACCCAAGCAGACCAGACCUGAGGAAAAGCUGCCCAAUGCGACCUUCUGCCUCAUCCCUGGCCAGCGUGCUGAAGCCUCGCGCUUCCUUCAAGCCCUGCAGGCUGGCUGCAUCCCUGUGCUUCUCAGCCCCCACUGGGAGCUGCCGUUCUCUGAGGUCAUCGACUGGACCAAGGCGGCCAUUGUAGCUGACAAGCGGCUUCCUCUUCAGGUCCUGGCUGCCCUCCAGGAGAUGGCUCCCGCACGGGUCCUCGCCCUGCGCCAACAGACCCAGUUCCUGUGGGCCGCCUACUUCUCCUCAGUAGAGAAAGUCAUCCACACCACUCUGGAGAUUAUCCAGGACCGGAUUUUGGGUGCAUCUGCCCACCCCUCACUGUUGUGGAAUAGCCCUCCAGGGGCACUCCUGGCCCUGUCCAUUUUUUCCAGGAGCCCCCAGGAUUUCCCCUUCUACCACCUGCAGCAGGGCUCCCGCCCUGAGGGCAGAUUCAGCGCCCUGAUCUGGGUGGGGACCUCCAGCCAGCACCCCCUGAAGCUCAUCCAGGCGGUGGCAGGAUCCCAGCACUGUGCCCAGAUCCUGGUUCUCUGGAGCAGUGAGAAGCCACUCCCUCUCAAGUGGCCAGAGACAACAGUGCCCUUGACGGUCAUGGAUGGGCACAGGAAGGUCAGCGACCGCUUCUUUCCAUACAGCGCCAUCAGCACUGAUGCUAUCCUCAGCCUCGAUGCCCACAGCAGUCUUUCUACAAGUGAGGUAGACUUUGCCUUUGUGGUGUGGCAGAGCUUCCCAGAGCGGAUGGUGGGCUUUCUAACAUGGAACCACUUCUGGGAUGAGACUCGAAGCGGCUGGGGCUACACUGCUGAGAUGGCCAAUGAAUUCUCCAUGGUUCUCACCGCAGCUGCCUUCUACCAUAGGUAUUACCACACUCUCUUCACCCACUCCCUGCCCAAGGCCCUGAGGACCCUGGCAGAUGAGGCACCCGCCUGCGUGGACGUCCUGAUGAACUUCUUAGUAGCGGCAGCCACCAAGCUGCCCCCUAUUAAAGUGCCCUUUAGCAAGCAGCACCGGGGGGCUGCUCCACUGGCUCCUAGGAUUCCGGCGUCCGGGUCUCAGCCUCAGCCCCCACAUCAAGACUGCAUCAACCGGAUGGUGGCAGAGUUCGGCCACAUGCCUCUGGUCCCUUCUCGCUUGCGUCUGGACCCCGUGCUGUUCAAGGACCCAGUGUCUGUGCAGCGCAAGAAGUACCGCAGGCUGGAGAAGCCCUAGGAGAGACCAUAGGAGGUCCUAGCCCGGCUCCCAGGGCGCGCGUCACCCACCGUCAGGCGGCGCUAGCCUGGCUCUCUGCUGCUGCGGCUCGGCUCGGGCUGAUCCGCUGGCCCAGCUACGUUUCUUUGUCUUUCAGAUCCUUGCCUGAUAUUUAUGUGCGACCUCCAGGGAUCGAUGUCGUUGAUGCUGCCGCGGUCCCAUCGCUGUUCACGCUGGCUGGCAACGUGCUCGCCGCCAGGCCCCCAGGCAGCCUGGGAGUCCGGAGGGCGGGUCGCGCCCCCUUCUCCCCAGUCUGGCAGGUGCGCGCAAACAUUUAAUAGAUACAAAGGAGAGACAUUAACCUUAAGCCACCGCAGACACUGCGUGCGGAGAGAAAAACCCUCCCACCCCGGCGUUCCUAGUCGGCGAGGAAGACAGCCAUGUGAAGAAGCCUAGGUUGUCAGGCUUAAUCCUCGCCCCCCAGGGAAGGAGCAAAGAAGGGCAGGGAAAGGCGAGGGAUGGGAACGUGGGUGACACGUCCCUGUUGCGCAGGGUCCUGGGCUCUGGCCCGACUAGCCUCCCUGAAUUAUCGAUUUGUACCACUAGGGGUCAGUGCUGCACCGCACUCCCUCCACCGAAGAGCUGGGCGUUUAAACUUAUGCUUGGUGGGGUGAGAGGGCGGGCCGGGGGCGUGGAGGGUCAACCGGUGUGCACUAUGUAUGCACCGCCCGGGUCUGCAAACAAGAGAAUUAUCAGAAAGAACGGCCACACCCCUUUGGCUUGCACACUCGGAACCCCGUUAGAAGGAACUGUUUCCAGGUGCUGCUUCUCCGCGGCCUCCAUGCCGCCCGCGCGCCCCCGCCUCGCCGACAGCGGCCUGGACGCUGCGCGCCGGACGCUCCGCCGCGCGCACACCGGCGGCUCCCGCUCCCGCUCCCGCUCGGCGCCCCCGACCCCGCGUCCGCGUCUCCGCGCUGCACGUGUGCGCGCCGCCCGCUUUAUCCCGGCCCUCGCCGCCCCGUGUGAAGCUGCCCGCCGCACGUCGUGUGCAAAAGCUCCCCGGGAGGGAGGAGGGUGGCCGGCUGCAAAGGGCGUCGCGGGGCUGCCCCCCACCCGCUGGUGGCCUGCGAGGGGCCCCGAGGCCGAGCUGCCCGCGAGGAAAAUCCUAACAGCCUCUGCGCCCACUCUCCCGCGUGGGUAGGCCAUGACCCACCGAGGAGGGACGGAACCUUGGUCUCUCGGACACCCGGGGGGCAGGAAUGUGGCCCCGUGCCUCGGAAUAGCGACUCCCUCGGCCAGGGCCGGCGGCGACCUCCGACGGUGCUGGAUCUGCUGAAUCGUUCGCCCCUCUCAGCCAGGAGACUUCUGACCAGCUGCCGCUUUUCCCUCCGGCUGGGCGUGGAAUAGUCUCCCUUCAGCUGGGGCGGUGCUGACCCUGGCAGGUUGGGGUGGCCUACUGGUUUGCCACCGAAGUGGCACCCUUUCCUCCUCUCUAGUGCGCUCUAAUUAGAAUCCGCAGUGGCCAGCUUUUUGUUUGUUUGUUUGGAGGGACUUUGUUUUUAACUGGUGAUUGAAUCUAGGACCUUUGCACUGAACUGCAUCCCCAAACGAUUUUUAUUUUAUUUUUGUGGGGCCAGAGAUAUAACUCAGCAACACAGUGCCUGCCUGGAAGCACCAGGUUAAGAGUUCAAUUCCCAGUACAAAAAAUAAUAAUAAAAUAAAAUCGUAUUUUAUUCUGAGACUAAAUCAAUUGAGUUACCCAGGUUGGAAUUCAAACUGUGGUCCUCCAGCUCAGUUUCCCAGAGCGCUGGAAUUACAGGCAUGUGCCAAUGGUUGUGGCCACCCUUAUCUGCACCCCUAUAAGGAAUAGUGUCAUGCUUCAUUAACAGUCACCGUCUGUCCAGAGCUGACACCACCACCACCACACUUUCUCCCAUCCCUUGAAGCAAAUUAAGGGACACCAGAAAGCUCUACAGGUAAACAUUUGGAACAACAUCAACAAAUAAUCUGGGAGAUGAAGGCAGAAGGUGCCAUGCAUGGUGGUACUGAUGAAAGAACCUGGCCUGUGCCCAAUUGGCAGCUGGGUGCCCCGCCGACUUGAAGCAGUGUCCCACCACCCAGGUCCCAGGGUGGGGCCUGGAGCCUCUAUGUUGGCCUCUAACAGGUGCCUGUGUAGAAAGCUGGUGACUUUCCCUGGGAAGUCAGCUCAUGAGCCCCAGUGCCAAUGUUGGAGCACAAUUAUAAUGUAGAAACACAUUCAUGAGAUGGUAAAUUUAUGGAUAUUUCUAGCGGGCUCUGACCAAGUUGCUGUUCUGCUGUCUCUGGUAAAUUCAGUUGACCCAGACAAUGUCAGAGCAGUUUCCUAUACCUUAAAGCACCUUGGGCUGACCAGUGCUCAUUCAGCUUUUUCUCCUGAACAAUUCCUAUAUUAUGGUAAUGACCUUAAGUAUACUUAUUCUGUAAGAGCCUCCUCCAUUGGUUCAUGGAAUGUUUGUAUUAUUUCAAGAUAUCCUGUCUGUCAAUAUAUGAUUCAAUGUAUGUAAGCAAUCAUGUAACAUUUGGUCACUUGCUCUGUACCACUCACUUCUAAUUCUAUAUAAACUAAAGUCCUUCCUGAUUGAGAGCAGUCAUGUGAGAGGAAUUAUCUCUGCAACUGUCCACUGGUGUGAAAAUCCAACAGUUCACUGGUGUAAAAAUUAAUGCUGCCUUCUUCAUGAGUUCAAUCCCCCGUACUAAAGGGAAAAAAAAGAAAGCUAAAUGCUGUCUUCCUAUCUCCUCAGUGCAAAGAGUCUUCCUUUUGGUUUGGCUUGGCUUGGGUUGGCUUGGGAAAUUUCCUGCAACAUCCUUGGGCACUAGGACCAUAGCUUGGAAGAUUCGGCCUGUCACAGAAACAAGUGUAUAGUGCUGGAAGUGUAGCUCAGGGGUAAAGCUGUGAAACUGUGCUAGGCAGCUGGAUUAUAUAUAUUACAGGCAGGCAGAUGGGGGUGGGGCCUCAAAUUAGACAAUGCAGAAGACCAGAGAUCUUGCAACCUUGAGGAGACACCUCUGUGCUUCUGCUGUGGGCCAGGUCUCAAAACAAAAGAUAAAACAAAUGUAACCACACCCUAAGUAUAAACAUCAGGGAUUGAUAUUCUAAAUAGGUAUCAAUCACCUUGAAGAAACCAGAAGGGGCCAUUAAUCCAACCCCUUAGCAAAGAAGCAAAGACCCUAGUCUGUAUUAUUCUGUUUUUGGUUUUUUUUUUUUUUUUUUGGUACUGGGAAAUCGAACUCAGGACUACAGGCUUGGAAGGUAAGCACUUAUGCUGCUGAGCUAAAUCCCCAGCCCUUUAUUCUGUAUUCUUAUCUACUUGUUAUAUGACUCGCCUCCCCAUUUGAUCCAGAUUUAAUCAAUUUUACCUGAUCAAUUUAAUCAAUUUUACUUGUGAUCUUACUGGUUGACCAUAAUUCUGUCCCACCUCAUGUCCACCUGCCUUCUGAGUUCCCAUUUUCCCCCACCUUGGACCUACCUCACCUCAUAGUUUUGCUCUAUAAAAUCCCUGGAAAAGGCAGAAUCCUCAGCAACUCACUCCGAACCAUGUCUGUCUGUCUGUUUCUCUCUCUCUCUCUCUCUCUCUCUGACAGAAGCUUUCUUUCUCUCAAUAAAUAUGUUCUGCUCCUAA
Cavia porcellus (domestic guinea pig) is the source of this 6506-nucleotide RNA transcript. It is a transcript of the gene named exostosin like glycosyltransferase 1, with no coding region annotated. The transcript is spliced from 12 exons. The record is from RefSeq and is a predicted model, not a curated record. Lineage: Eukaryota; Metazoa; Chordata; Mammalia; Rodentia; Caviidae.